GCCGCUGUAGUGUAGUUUGGUCUAGCAUGGCUGGCUUCCACCCAGUAGACUCGGGUUCAAAUCCCGAUAGCGGCU
RNAcentral lists this transfer RNA (75 nucleotides) under Caudoviricetes sp. RNAcentral describes it as "tRNA-Gly". It matches the Rfam family "tRNA". From Rfam's summary of the family: Transfer RNA (tRNA) molecules are approximately 80 nucleotides in length. Their secondary structure includes four short double-helical elements and three loops (D, anti-codon, and T loops). The record is from RNAcentral. Lineage: Duplodnaviria; Heunggongvirae; Uroviricota; Caudoviricetes.